UCGAAUACAUCCAACCAAAGUGG
RNAcentral lists this non-coding RNA (23 nucleotides) under Arabidopsis thaliana (thale cress). The record is from RNAcentral. Lineage: Eukaryota; Viridiplantae; Streptophyta; Magnoliopsida; Brassicales; Brassicaceae.